Molecule: ribosomal RNA, 520 nt
Filed under: uncultured Glomus
Lineage: Eukaryota; Fungi; Glomeromycota; Glomeromycetes; Glomerales; Glomeraceae
Description: SSU rRNA
Rfam family: Eukaryotic small subunit ribosomal RNA
Source: RNAcentral
AGCAGCCGCGGUAAUUCCAGCUCCAAUAGCGUAUAUUAAAGUUGUUGCAGUUAAAAAGCUCGUAGUUGAAUUUCGGGAUUAGUACGUUGGUCGUGCCUUCGGUACGUACUGGUGUUACUGAUUCCUACCUUCUGACGAACCAUCAUGUCAUUAAUUUGGUGUGGUGGGGAAUCAGGACUGUUACUUUGAAAAAAUUAGAGUGUUUAAAGCAGGCUCGCGCUUGAAUACAUUAGCAUGGAAUAAUGAAAUAGGACGUUGAUCCUAUUUUGUUGGUUUCUAGGAUUGACGUAAUGAUUAAUAGGGAUAGUUGGGGGCAUUAGUAUUCAAUUGUCAGAGGUGAAAUUCUUGGAUUUAUUGAAGACUAACUACUGCGAAAGCAUUUGCCAAGGAUGUUUUCAUUAAUCAAGAACGAAAGUUAGGGGAUCGAAGACGAUCAGAUACCGUCGUAGUCUUAACCAUAAACUAUGCCGACUAGGGAUCGGAUGAUGUUAUUUUUAAUGACUCAUUCGGCGCCUUACGG